Molecule: long non-coding RNA, 210 nt
Filed under: Manihot esculenta (cassava)
Lineage: Eukaryota; Viridiplantae; Streptophyta; Magnoliopsida; Malpighiales; Euphorbiaceae
Description: long non-coding RNA (MESC_LNC009582)
Source: RNAcentral
UCCAAUCUCCAUCAUCAUAGUCAUCAAAUUAUGCAAUGCGCCAUAUUCGUGAAACUAGUGCAAUCAACCUACUAUAAUCAUCGUGAUGCAUGAACAUGGUUUAGGCAUUUGAAUUUCAUAAUACAAAAGAUUAAGGUUAGUUCUACUCACCUCUGGCAGACGCUGAACAGACUCUGCAACUGCUAACACUGAUGGCCUCCUCGGUCCCUC